Molecule: long non-coding RNA, 1417 nt
Organism: Astatotilapia calliptera (eastern happy)
Lineage: Eukaryota; Metazoa; Chordata; Actinopteri; Cichliformes; Cichlidae
Source: Ensembl
CUUUUUCUGUGGCUAAACACACAGCUUCUAAUUUGUAAAAUCACUAACAUUUUCUCAGUAUACUUUAGCGUGUCUAUUUGACACCAGAGAAAGGCAUUAAAACGGGUACUUAUGCGGGACUUAUACAUAGUUUGAGUGUCUUUUUCUAAUCCUCUCUCACCUUCCUCCUCAUCCUUAUCUUUCGCAGCCUGAUGAUAAAACUUUUGUUAUAUCCAUUGCAGCAUUCCUCAGUCUCACAUCACACCUCAGUGACUUCACUGUUGGUAAAAUAUGUCACCAGCAUUUAGAGGAUUGUGACAUUGAGCCCAUCCGUUGCUUCAAAUAUCAACAAAUGACUUCAACCAACCGCUGGAAAAAUAGUCAGUGCGUGGCACAAAAGAUAAGUCACCUUUUACUCACACACCUCUCCUGUUUGUUGCAGUGUUGAAAUGUAUCUGACGCAGAUGUUUGUGCAGUUUAGCUGCAGGUUACUUGUGCUUUGAGGGCCCAAGCUCCCCUCUGAGAUCGAUAAGGCUCCUCUAUCCUUCACAAUCUAGGCUGUGGCAACUGCUGCAAGGUUUUGAGAUGUCGCCACUGAUUGUAUAACUCAGGCUUGCAAAACUGUCAAUACGCCCAUACUGUCACACUUGCAUGUAAGAUUUUCUUUAAAAAAAAAAAAAAAAGACUAAGAACAGAAGAGAAAGAAAAAAAAAAGCAGCUCUUAGCAUUAAAUACCCUCCGCACCUAACGAAACCGAAAGUAAUGCCGGACCGCUCAAGGCACAGCUGCACACACGAGCACAUGCAGGAACACCCACAGAGAGACAGAGACAGGGAGAGACAGUAAAACAAUCACACCUUUAUGUCCAAAAAUGAAAUCUCAAGAGAUUAAAAUCUGCCUCCAAGACCACGCAAAUGGCACUUUUCUCUCUGUGAGUGCGCUCGUUGGCAUGACCAUUAAUAGCCCUUAAAACCCUACAACAGCCACACACCGAAGUAUUUAACUCUAAAUGCAAAUCAAAACCAAUUUUACAUUUUAAUCUUAAAAUAAAGUUUCAGUCCUCAGAGAUGAAAAUCUGCCAGAAAGUCAGCGUUUUCACUUUUCACAAAUGACCUCACUCCCAGACUAUCAAUUUGGUCCUCACCACGUAGGCUACAAUAUUACGCAGGUACACACAUACCUCCAAAGUCCCUUUGCCUCGCACUCCCAGGGUGAGAAAUCCUUUUCAAAUGCGACGGUUGUAGUGAGCCUUUGUUAAAUGCGAAGAAAAGCUGAACGAUAGAAAUCCGGUCUUAAUCUUGUCAGUGAAGGAAGUCCACUACUGGAUUUGUCCAUCCACGGAGUCCUGGUGCGCUGUCUCAGUGUGCCGCCAAGUGCGCCACAGGCUGCCGUUCCUUCGGUCAAUUCCAGUCACCACAUAAAUAGCUGCCAAACCUUC